AAGUCGAUAAGACCAGGAGAAGUGAAGAUGUAACAUGUUAUCUGUCGCUCCUCUUAGCUGGCGGAGAGAAUUUACAUUUAAAGAUUAGCAGAGUGAGAAAGAGAAAUCUGCCUUUUGUUGUGUGGGGUGAGGAGGAGGCAUCUACCCUGGCCUUGACGCUAUCUCCCAUCACCUCUGCUACCCAGACAGGACUCACCGAGUAUCAAAUGAUAAGAACUGAGCACAUUGGAUGAAAUAAUACUUGCAUUGGGAGCACUAAGGUAGGCACUUCACAAGUAUUAUCUCCUCAUAUCAUCCUGGUAAGUUAGGUGUUAUUAUCUUACUUUGGAGAUUUAAAUCUGAAGCUUAGAGAGAUUAAGUGACUUGUCCAAGGUCAAAUAGCUGAUAAGUAAGUGUAAGAACUGAGAUUCCAGUCCAGCCAGAGUGUGUAUACAGUGGGCUUCUAAAUGGUCAGCGUGUACAGGCCAUGGUUAUUUAUAACACUUUAUUUUUUGAAAAUUAAAUUAUAUCUGCAACAGAGAAGAUAUUUAAGAGCUUCCUACCAUUUAAAUUGCCUGGUUUGUUAACUCAUUGGUCAUAUUGCAUUGUUGGUACUUAGUUAGUUGUCUACCUUCUGAUUAAUUUGUUUCUUAAAAAUAUUUGUAGGAUUUUGAAGUAAUGCCUUAUCCCAGGAGAAAGGGGCUUGAAGAAAGACCAGACCAUAUUCCAUUAUCAGUUAUUCCCUGUUUACUCAGCCAGUAUUUAGUGAAUGCCUUUUGUGUGCCAGGCACUGUUCUAGGCACUGGGUGUAAGCAUUGUUGAAUAAACAUGGCCAUGCUCUUGCAGCCCUGACAAUGGAAUGAGUAGAGUGCAUCAAUGUAGGGUCCAAAGGUGUAAGAAAUUAAAUGGGAUCUCAUGUCUGCAACAGCUGACACACUCAAUUGUGAGAUAACUCAAUGCAUAAAAAGCUUCUAGAGUGCACUUAUGCCUUAAAGGUUGUGUGGACUGUGCUACAGUUCCCAGUCACAGUGUCCUGCUGCUCAGUGUGGGACAAAGGGCUGGCUUCAUAGCCGUGAAUGCCCUGGGUGACUUCCAUGCUGCCCUAUCUCUAUAUAGCACCAGCGGGAAUGGGCUUCUGUGAACAGUACCUGGCAGGUAAAGGGUUGCAGAGCCUGAUAUAGACCCAAAGUGCUAUAGUAUAAAGAAGAGAAAAAGAUCACGGGCCCCAGAAGUAGCCAGGGAAAGGUUUGCCAAAGUCACGGGGAUUGAAUUGGGCUUUUGUGGCAUUUCAUUGAGUGGGAUUCAUUUGUUUUUCUUUUUAUUUGGGACUACUACAACUAUGUUCCUAGUCCAGUUCCAAAUGUGGAGGAUAGAGUAAUGAGCACCCCAGAUAAGACCCUAGCUCUCGCAGACCUUGCAGUUUGGGGGUGAGAGAGGGAGAAAGAUAAAAAAGAAGUUACUAAGAUUAUUUCAUGUAGUGUUAAAUAUAAUUAAGACAAUUAAGAAACAGUGUUAGAAUGAUGCAGGGGUUGGGAGGACAUGGUAGUGAGUCUUGAUUUCAAAUGGUUGGGGAAACCAUCUCUCAGGCGGUGACUCUUGAACUAAAGCCUGAGAGUUGAGGAAGAACUGGCCAUGCAGCAGUCUAUGGGCAGGGCCGUGAAGUCAGUGAACGAAGCCAUGAGCAUGAGAGGAAGCGUUCCGUCAGGGAGUUUAUCCAGUCAGAGAAGAGCUGCACUCUGGAAGGGCGUGGUUGGAGUGGAGGCUGAAAACUGUAGAUGAGUGCCAAGUGACGGAGGGUCUUAUAUGUGAGAUUAGGCAAGAAUAAGGACUGUGUGUUUCUGUGUGUGGAUCUAGGAGAUGAGUAGUUAGAAGAGAGAAGGAGAAUCUGGAUGAGUGUAUGCAUGGAAGCUUAAGGAAGCUUGUGAAAUCAGGAUAAUGACAUUUAGUUCACAUGCCCUGCAAUGAGGGGCACCCAAAUCACACAGUGUCUCAGUAGCUUCCUGUUGGAAGUUGAAUAUAGUCCUAAAGUGAAGCAUAUAUGGUGCUCUGUUGACUACUCCUUCAAAUUGAGAGACACAGAAUUGCCUACAAAGAAAUGGUGAAGCUUUGACAAAGAUAAGCUAUAAUCCAAUGCCAGGAACUGUACUUACCAAGGUAAUGUUUCCUAAGUCAGAUAUAAUAUAACAGAUUCCUUUUGUGGUGAUUCCCCUUGGAAACAAAAGCUAAUGGUACAUUUGUUCAUGUAAAAGAAUAGCUUUUAUGAUAUAAAAUGUUUCUGUGAAGGAAAAGAAAAGAGUUAGAGCUAAGGUUUGAUUCAACCCCGGUUGAUAGAUAAAAAGAAGUGUGUUUAAAUGCUCAUUUUUGGAAUAACCAUAUAUCAUUUACUAAAGGAAAAAAUGUCCCAAUGUUGAUAGAAUUCUCUAGAGAAACAUGUUUAGGCAGUGAAAGGAUUCCUGGCAGUGACUGAGAAAUACAGUAAUGGGGACUGCACUUGAUCUCUUUUGAGGUUGAUUCUGAUGUGUGUAGUCUUUACAUCCUAUUAAAUUUUUGAAAGAUAAACUGAUACAAGAAUGAUUUGCCAAGGCCAUAUGAGGUUAACUGAAUUCAAAUAGAAGGUUCUCUCAAGUUAUUGCAUUCCUUAGAAAAUAAAUACAUUGCGCAUAUGGUUAAGAUUGAUCAAAAAAGUAUUCUGUAUGCCAGUGAUUACAUUCCCAUCUGUGAUUAAGGUUUUCUGUCUGCAUCUGGUUUUCACAUUAUAUUUCUGUAACAAGAAUCCUUUAUAUAGCAGAGUUCACUUUCUGUAUUUUCUAUUAGCUGCAGCUUGAACUACUGCACGGAUCGCAGAUUUACACAUGUGGUUUUCAUUACUUCAUACCAUUGAGAAAAAGUAAUAUUUGUUUGGGAAUGUAUGUUUUCCACAAUUUCCAUGGUAAUACAACAUGUUGAGCCUUUUAAAUAACACUUGUAGAACUACAAAUUGUUUGAGGCAUUCUGCUCUUGGUGGAGCUUAGCUUUUAAACUUUUCUCAGUAUGUUCCCCUUGUAAUGAGGUUUUACAAAUUUGAGGGCUGAGCAUCCAGAUCUGAACAAAGCAAGUAUUAAAGAUAGAGAAAUUUUAUCAUUUCCGUGUGACAGAUUUCAGUGUGGAAUAGGUCUCAGAGAUACCUGAACAUCGUGCUUAUUACCAUUACUUAUUUUAUUAUUAUUUCAUAUUGGAAGGGCAUUUAAUGUGUUGGAGAUAUGAAGCACAAAUGUGACACUCCAGUCAUUAUUUUGAAAAAUCUAAAGAUUAGUUCUUUUUUUUUUUUUGAGUUACCCUAUUGAUUGUGAUAUAUUGUUUCAUAUAUAAAAUAGUUGUGGGGAAAAUCCUCAUAGGUAACUUUAGAUUGACAUUGUAUAUUGUUUGAAACUGUAUUUGUAUACUAUGUUAACAUUUAAGAAUUUAUAAAUAUGCACAUUUAAAAUAUUUUGUUGUCACCGUGUUCCUGCCAAUUUUCUUCAUUCACUUCAGAAAACUCUGAAUAAAAUAGAUACUACCAGUGAAGUUAAAAAAUAAAGUAGUAUAUUCCAAAUUGAGAGAUCAUUUUUAAUUGAGAAAUUUGUUUUGAAGUUUAUCACAUGGUAAUUUUAUGUGCCUCAAAACCAAGAUUACACCAUUUUUGUUAAACCCAGACAUUGGUCUGGUAUUUAGCAGUCAUGAGAAGGAAGAAAUAGACUUAGACUCUAGAGGAUUUGUAUAUGCUUUGCCUGGUUUGUUUGUUCAGUAGAGAUUAUUAACUAUGGCUCAUACAGGGGCAUGAUCCACUUUUGUCAGGCUCUCUGAUGGCUUUUGUUGAUGGUUGCUGAAGCACAAAAUAUUAUGAUUGAAUCUAAGAAGAGCAUACAUUUUCUUUUUUCCCAAUAUUUUUUAAGUCUCUCUAUAUAAAAUGUAUUUUACCUUUGUACAGAAACAUUGGAAAUAACAGAAUUGUGCAGAAAAAUUACCCAUAUUGCCAUCUUCCAGAAAUAAUCAUAUUUAACAUCUAGAUGUAUUUACUUUCAGUCUUCCCUUCUGUGUGCACCCUCCCCCACUCCACUAUUUGAGUACCUACAUAAUGGAUACGUGUACAUAUGUUUAUAUAUCUGGGUUAUAUUAUUGAAUUUUUUUGCUUUAUCAUUUGUUAAUGAAAUUGUUAGUAUUCACAGUAAGCUAAAUGUUUCCAAGAUCCAGCUGAUUGUCUUUGCUUACUGCAAGGCAAUUCCCAACGAAGAAAUAUCUAGUAAUGUAUUUUAAUUAAUCAGUACUUAUUUAAUUUUUUAACCUUAAAAAACAAGAAACAACUGAUUGCAUCACAAAAGAAUCAUAAUAUGGCACUUAAACUACUUUUUAAAAAAAAAAUAGAAUCUGCUUGUUUUAUUUACAUCAGAAUAUGUUCACCGAUUUUAAUUUCUAGGAAGUAAUUUGGUCUCAAAAAAUAGCAACAGCCUUAGUAAUUCCUUUUGAGACUGCUUUUAUAAAUCUUUCUUCCCUUGCAUUUGUUAAGUUCCUACCUUUUCCUACCUUAUAUGUGUAUGACUGUGCUAGACCCUUAUGUUUCCUGGUUGGUAAGAAUUAAAUACCAAUACUUCAUAGUAGUGAUAGUAGUGGUAGCAUUUUUAAUCAUAGUAGGUGAGGAAUAGACACUCAAUAAAUAUUGUGAAUGAACAAAUUCUAAAUUUGUCAAAUAUAGCAGAAAAAAUGAGAAAAUUUAUAUUAUUAAAAGGAAAAGAAUGGUGUAGAAGUUUGUUGAUUUGCUAAAAUAAUUCAACAAUAUUUGUUUUAGUAAUAUUUUUUAACUAUUACAUAAGGAUUAUUCUUCACUGUUGUUUUAAAUUAUGUGAGCUAAUGGCAAUAUUGAAAUUUCAGAACAGCAAAAACAGUAUUUGAAUAAUGAAACCAACCACUUUGUUUUGAAGCAGGAUUAACUUGUGUGUAAAAUUCCAUAAAUAAUAAUGUCUAAAUUGUUUUCUAAAGAAAACAUAAUAUCUGACAGAUUAUUAUUUUUUUUUGAAACAGGUAAAAUGUGACACAUUCUCUUAAGGUAUUGAUGUGCAUAUCUUUAAAACCAAUUUAAGAAAGAAGAGCUUUCAGGUUCAGAAUGUAUCCAGCUUUGAGUCAGAUGAUUGGAAAAUUAAGAGUCCUUUAGAAAAUGUCAUGAUAGGAACUGAGACAAUGGGGAUUGUUUUGGAUUCUUCUAAAAUUUAGAAGAGCUUGUAUCUGUUUUUUUGAAAACAAAACAAAACAAAACUGGCCUAGUGUUAUCAUGUAAACAGAUGGG
This is a long non-coding RNA of Cercocebus atys (sooty mangabey), 5275 nucleotides long. RefSeq lists it as uncharacterized. The transcript is spliced from 2 exons. The record is from RefSeq and is a predicted model, not a curated record. NCBI's taxonomy places the organism in Eukaryota, Metazoa, Chordata, Mammalia, Primates, Cercopithecidae.